Molecule: non-coding RNA, 29 nt
Filed under: Rattus norvegicus (Norway rat)
Lineage: Eukaryota; Metazoa; Chordata; Mammalia; Rodentia; Muridae
Source: RNAcentral
UGGCAGUAAAACUGUUUUGGACAGAGAGU